Molecule: ribosomal RNA, 253 nt
Filed under: uncultured bacterium
Lineage: Bacteria
Description: partial 16S ribosomal RNA
Rfam family: Bacterial small subunit ribosomal RNA
Source: RNAcentral
UACAGAGGGUGCGAGCGUUAAUCGGAAUUACUGGGCGUAAAGGGCGCGUAGGCGGCUUAUUAAGUUAGAUGUGAAAUCCCUGGGCUUAACCUAGGAACUGCAUCUAAUACUGGUAGACUAGAGUGCGGUAGAGGAUAGUGGAAUUUCCGGUGUAGCGGUGAAAUGCGUAGAUAUCGGAAGGAACACCAGUGGCGAAGGCGGCUAUCUGGACUGACACUGACGCUGAGGCGCGAGAGCGUGGGGAGCAAACAGG